Molecule: unclassified non-coding RNA, 2057 nt
Filed under: Leishmania donovani
Lineage: Eukaryota; Euglenozoa; Kinetoplastea; Trypanosomatida; Trypanosomatidae
Description: gene:LdHU3.32.0210(CDS-product:hypothetical_prote in_conserved)
Source: RNAcentral
CACGGCUCUGUCUACCUUUGCCUGGUUCUCAGCGCUGUCUACGUUUCAGUCGCAGUUGCGGGCCCUCUCACCGCAAGUGUAAUAGAGCGAAAGAUAAGGAGCUCCAAUUCAGCAACAACGACGCAGAUUACUGGCCCCGGACACGAAAGGGCUCUCGUCAUCGCUGUAUCAGGGCUCAGGCUGCCGUGCCGCCGCCUCCGCCAUCCGACACGCUCACACAUACAAAAAAAAACGGCGCGAGCAAAUUGGAGUCGUGAUUUUCUGUGUUGCCUCCAUUCAAAGUGUUGCGUAUUGUCGAGAUUGUUUUCUGUUUUCCUGCGAUUUUGCGAGGCGAAUGCCGACAGCCACGGCGCGCGAUCUCUCCGGCAAGGCGCCGUUGUUCGUCUACCUCCAAGGAGGAGAGCGGGAGCGCCUGCCAACAGGAGAGUACAUUCGUGUGGUGGCACAGUGCAGUGGGGCAGACAAGACGGUGAACCGCCACGAUUUCGCAUUGCAUAACCGCGGUGCGCGGCUCUGUCGCCUACUCGACUCCCUUUUAGACUCUGUCGAUGUGGACCUGAAGCGCAAGGUAGACCCGGUGCAGGGACUCAUUCCUCCUGUAAUGCUGCCGCACGCGACGCGAGAGGGUUGUGAGUGUGUGUUCCGGUACCUUGAACUCAUACAAACACGCGUACCGACUCUCCUCAGCAAGCCGCUGCGCGCUCCGCUGGAGGAGCUGGUGUGCGAAUGGGAGAUGACCUACCUGCUUGAGGACUGCUUCCUUCCAGGCGUAGCGGUCGAAACGAAGACGUCGGCGGCGCUGUGCCAUACCCUAGCAAAGAGAGGCCCCCAGACAAUGGACCGCGUCUUAGAAGUGGCGAUGUUAGCCGACUUUCUUCUCAUCGAGCCGCUUCGCGACUUGACGUGCGCCCUGCUUGCUUCUCUCGCCCUCAGUGCCGGAUCGGAGAAGGAGCUGCUGCAGCUCUGCGGCCUCGACCACGUCUUGACGGAGGAGGAGCUUGAGCCGCUGUACAUGCAGCUUCCCUUUCUACGCCCCGAAGAUGGACUUGCGUAGAGCACUCCGCUCCCCUCUCCCUCUAGUGUGUUGCAACAGAGUUAGCGUGUGAUGUGCGCGUGCAGCCGCAUUGAAUGCGGAAUGUCGGCACGACGCACUGAUGACUACCUCGGUGGCUGUCACACCUCUCUGCCUUCCUCCUCCCCAGUCGCCGACGAAUGAGACGUGGUGUCGCCGUUACCUCGAUCUUUUUCCGUUUUACUUUCUUGUUUCGUUUUCUUUUCAUUGCAGUCCUUGAUGAUGAGGGACACCUCCAUGCGUGGUGCCGCAGGGCCCAGUACCCCCGCCCUCUCUCUCUGGAGAAGCCGGGAGGCCACCCUAUUGCUGGCCAAGUGCCGAACCACCUGUGGUGGUGACAGGGUCGCCGGCGCCGGCGCCGUGCUGGAGGUCCGGGCGACGUAUCGCUGCUGAUGUAGUUGGUCGGGUCCUGGCCGGGCGUUGCGUCGGGGCGACCGGCGACAGUGAACACGCGUGUGCCAUCCAUAUGAUUCGGCAGCGUGUCACCGCGUCUCGAGAGUAACCCGCCCGGGCCCCUACACCGCCCACUGGUGUGCGGGGGGGGGGAGGGCGGGGGCAGCGGCGCCCGCGCCCAUUCCGAGAAGGGAGGGAGGCACCAGCUGGCGGCCGGCGAGGCGGCGGGUGGGUGGGGUAGAGCUCGAGGGCAGAUGGCCGUGCUCAGAUAGCUGAGUCGGCAGCACUGCUGCACCGCGUGCCUGCCGCUUCUUCGCGCGACGCGGGGGGGGACUGUGACAGGCCGUGGGUGGAGCGGAGCUUGCCUUGUGUUGGAGUGGCAGAAUAGGCCAUGUGAAAGAAAAACCUUACCCUGUUUUGUAUUGUUGCUUGCUAAGGAAUUCAUCUCCGCUGAAGGUUACAUACGUGUUCGCACACACUCAAGCAGUCUGAAGGCCGCCAGCAAGUAUGCAAGCAGAGGUGUGGCCGCAUGUUUUUAGCUACGUAGUAUAUUGCAUAAUAACUCACAGACAAUUGAGAAUGGGGCACCAGC